This 494-nucleotide ribosomal RNA is filed under the name uncultured bacterium. Its description in RNAcentral is "partial 16S ribosomal RNA". It matches the Rfam family "Bacterial small subunit ribosomal RNA", at positions 28 to 507 of the family's 1533-position model. The record is from RNAcentral.
GACGAACGCUGGCGGCGUGCUUAACACAUGCAAGUCGAACGGUGAAGCGCCUUCCUUUUUGGUGGGUGUGGAUGAGUGGCGAACGGGUGAGUAACACGUGAGUAACCUGCCCCCUUCUUCUGGAUAACCGCAUGAAAGUGUGGCUAAUACGGGAUAUUCUGGGUCUGUCGCAUGAUGGGUCUGGGAAAGAUAUUGUUUCGGUGGGGGAUGGGCUCGCGGCCUAUCAGCUUGUUGGUGGGGUGAUGGCCUACCAGGGCGGUGACGGGUAGCCGGCCUGAGAGGGUGGACGGUCACACUGGGACUGAGACACGGCCCAGACUCCUACGGGAGGCAGCAGUGGGGAAUAUUGCACAAUGGGCGCAAGCCUGAUGCAGCGACGCCGCGUGAGGGAUGGAGGCCUUCGGGUUGUGAACCUCUUUCGCCAGUGAAGCAGGCCUGCCUCGUUUGUGGGUGGGUUGACGGUAGCUGGAUAAGAGGCGCCGGCUAACUACGUG